CCGGUGCUCGCUCACCUGGGGGGCGCCGGGGCCGCCGGGUGGCGCCGCGCGGGGGCCGCCGCCGUCUCCGCGCCCGGCAGCAGCAACAACGGAGUCAGCGCGGCGGCGGCGGCGGCGGCGGCUUUUCCUGUCCGGUUACGUUCGGGUCACAUGACCGGGAGCGGAGCACAGAGGCUGCGGCGAGGAGCCCCCGCCGUGGGGGAGGGGAGGCGGCGAGUGCUGUGGCGGCAGCGGCAGCAGCAGCGGGAGACACCCAGCCCCCGCCCCUCCCUCCGCGCCCGCCCCACCGCCGGCACCGGGCACGGGACCGGCCCUCCCGCCCUCCGGGCACCCCCGGACGAACGCCGCCGCCGCCCCCAUCCCAGCGGGGCGCACUGCCCCUUUAAAACUCCCGGGCGGCGGGGGCUGGUGUGCCCUCCGCCGCCAGCGCUGCGGGGAUAACGGGGACUGUGGCGCCGUGCGGGGCCGGGAUUGGGAUAGGAUGAGAUGGGGCGGUGCUGCGCCCGCCGCCGUCUUUCUGGCGUCCGCCCGGCCUCGCCGCGGCGGCAGAGGCUUCUCGGUGCCGCCGCCGGGGGCCACCGGGCGGCUCCCGUCGGGCGGUGCUUGGCGGCAGGCGUGGGAUGGAUGGAUGGAAGCCGCCGGGUUCUGACCCCGCGCUCGCUCCCGGGGAGGAGUGGCGGGCGCAGGUGAUCCUUACUGGUUGGAGUAAACCCAUUUUGGUGAAGACUCAAACAGCAGGAACUGUGUAGUGAUGGUUGUUAUCAAUUACACUAUGAAGGCAUGUGGUAGAUGAGGCAGGUGAAAGAUGAGUGUGUUCUCACAGCUAAAUCAGUUUUGUGUUGCUGCUGGAACUGAAGACUCAUCCUGCCUCUGCCAUAAAACUUCCUCCUGGUCAGGCCAUGCAUACACACGUGCACAGGCUCCCCACGGGAUCUCCAGUGUGAAGCAGAGAUUGUAGGCGGGGAGUUUCCCACGUGCUGCAUGGUUGCAGAGGGCUCUGCUCUCUGUGUAAUCGUGCUGUGAAAGCUCGUUAGGUUCUUGGUGCACUCAAUUUCCCAGCUUGCUUCUCUACAUGUAAUAGAGUAAAGAUAUUCUCAAACAGAUUACGGAGUUUGUUGCUAAAACAAAAGCCUGUCAUGCGAUGUAGUGUGUACACCGUGAAAAAAAUGGAUACAAAGUUUUAACAUACAUUAAAGCUUAACUGAACUUUUUUUAAAAAGCUGUGAGGAGCCACUCAAUAAGUGGGGUUGGGGGCUUGGCAGGAAGCAGAGAGUGUGACUUUAGUGGCUGUGAUUUUAUGUGCCAAGAUAAACUGAUCUACAGUUUCAAAAGUAACUGCGCUUCCCUUGUUUUGAGGUGGUGGUUGCUCUUACAGUCCAAAACAGAAUGCUUCAGAUCAUCAAGCCUAGACACUAUGCUUUCAAAGAACAUCCAGGAGUCCUCAAAUAUUUUUGUUAAACCACUUUUCCUGGUAAAUGCAGCUGGUCUGCAAAUUCACAUUUUAGCUAAAUUUACAAUUUAGCAAUACUGAAACUGUGAGAUGAAAUGGGAACUGAUGCUGAAUGUAAGUAUUACACGCAAAUGGGGUGGGGGGAAGCCUGAAAAAUGUUUGCUAGAAAAGUUAGAAUUAAAAUGUAACCCAAUUCUUGUUACUGGAAUUAAGUGGUGCUUGAUAAGUUUUUCUGCUGCAUAAAAGAUGUAAUGUCCCAUUACUUAACAACCCUGUGUAAGUCAGGCUAUUGAUGCAGAGCUGUUUGCACUGUACUACAAGACUGUCACCCAGCUGUUCUGCUGACUGAUUGAUUCACUUCCCUGAGCGGGGCUUCAUGCUUCAGACCUUCUCAGCAGUUCAGAGAAGUCAGAGUUGAGCUAUUCUAAAACCAAGACCUCGAGGCAGGAUCUGUUCUGGUUCCAAGGAGAAAAACCUUCACUUAAGAGUAGUUGCUGCUUCUUAAGCAGCUCCUGUGACACUGUAACAUAAUUUAUGGCAAAAGGAUGGGUUUGUAGUCAGACGUUUUUCCUGUCUCUGCCUGACUUUACUCUUUUCUCCAGUGGCUGUGUUUGACAUAUUCAACAAGAGUCCAGUAUCACACUCAGAAAUACUGCUCUCAGGUGAAGACAGAACAGUAAGCUACUGCAAAUGGAUUUUGCACUUUUAGCCAGAAUUCAGUCAUUGCAGCUUGUCCAUGAUGCUGCAGAUGCUUGUAACAACAUUUUUAGGUUAUGUUCCUGAAACAAUACACUGGACUAAAGUGACUUUGAAAAAGGUGAUAAAACAGCAGUUGUGUCAUAAUUCCUGAAAACACAUUUAGAAAGAGAAGUUGCUGGGGAAAAAAAAAUCCCUUCAUCCUCUCAUGAGGAAGUGGUAAUAUUCUGUAGACUAGGAAUAAAUUAAAAAUAAAAAAAGAAACUUUUACCUUAGAGGAUAAUUAAGACAUCUUACCCUAUGCUAACUCCUUGCAACUUGUAUUGAUAAAAAUCAAAUAGCAUGAUAAGGUGAACAGAGAAAUUGUGUGAAUCUUACUUUAGUUUAUCAUUCUGCUACAGCUUCCUGUGACCUGAGAUAAAGAUCAACUCCAUUCCCCUUUCAUAUGAAUACUAAAUGUAAAAAAAAGAAUAGAAGUAGUACUAAAGAAAUGUAAUCCCAUACAAGUAUAUAAACACCUUUUUCUGAUGGGAUAGAACAUAACGUUAGAUAUACCUGCCACAUAUAUUAAAAUCAUGCCAGAUAACUUAAGGAGAACAAGUAGUAGUGCCAUUUCCAAGCUUGGGACAGUGUCAUGGCUGUACAAGAAGGAGCUGGGGAAAAUCAGGGAAAAUAUUGUCAGAAAUGCACAAAGUAGCACUCAGUGUCUUUUUAGUUGUCAAGGGGACAAGGCAGUAGAAUCCUUCACCAAAUUAAUACAGGGAUCCACCCUUCUGUCUUUGCUUAUUAAGACAAAACUAAACCUCUCUCUGCAUUACUCCUGCACGUGUCUGGGUCCACUCCCUAGAAAAGUUCCCCUAAAAAUGCAUCUCAGCUUUACACUAGCACAUUGAUAGAUUAAGACCUCUCUAGCGUCACUAGUACAGCAGUUGGGAAUGAUGUUCACAGACUGAUUUAUUAUUUUUCGGUUUUUAUUUUAGUAGAUUUACAGAUUUAUCAAGAGACAUGAUUUCACUCUUUUCCAGAAGGAUAUGAUAGGAAUUUUCCAGGCUGUAUGGUCUUAAUGAUUUUGUCAGUUUUCUUCCUGAGUUUCUUCUGUCAUCAGAAAACUACCCUUGCAAGUUCAAACAGAACCUGGAGAACAGCAAACAGUGAUACAAAUUUUUAUUUGACUGAAUAAUCCUUAAACCAGUUUACGCUGUAGAUCAGAUAAUCUGAAAAAUAACUGUAGCUGCAAUUUGAAAAGUUACUUGCAAAGAACUGAAGACUGAUCCCCUUGUACAGUACAUCACAUUACUAAAAUAAUCUUAAUUCUCGAAUUAUGAAGUAUAUAAAUUGCACUUGUUAUUACACGUUCAGUGUGACAGUGAUAAGAAACGCUACUAACCUCUAUGGUGAUGAGUAUUACUAUCAUCCACUCAAGGCGCAGAGCGUGCUUUUCAUUCAGGUGAUUUCGCAUUAGAUCUGUCAGCUCCAUGCAGUGUUGGAGCUUUUCAUUCAUUACCUGCAAGCAAUUACAAACAUGUGGCAAAUCUGGAUUCCAGAAAUGGAAUGAGAUCACUAAAUAUGGGAACACACUCCACAGAAGAGCUCAGUGAACAGAACUAGAAAGCUGUUAACACCACUGCAAAAUAAAACAGAAAGCUCUGUAAGGGAACAUGCACAAGCAAUAAAAGUUUCAAUAUAAAUGAGCCUGUUAUUUCAAUAGGUUCACAAAAAUAAUACAAAUCUAGAUAUGCAUUUGCAGGUACUAAAGUGCUUCUGGGUGAUAUCUACUCAUGAGAACAGGCACAAGCAAAAGAUGAUGCAGCUUUUUGGAAUACCUCCAAAGUAAAUACUUAAGGCUGCUGUACCACCAGAAGUGGUAGUUUUUGUGCUUCUUAUUCUGGUUCAGCAGUAAGCAUUAUGUUGCCCUUCAAGAACUGACCUGAAAGACCAUGUCAGUAAGAAGAAUGCUUCGCAUCUCAUUAUUAUUUAACCUGUUUUCUUGCACACAUUUCAGAAGAAGACUUUAAUCUCUUCUUGUAACUCCUUAAAUCCUAAUUUAGUGGCUCAGGAAAUACACAAUCCAUUCAUGUGUGGCAAGUUAGCCUAAACUGGGUAAAGGUGCAAAUGGGCUAUGAACACAUGGAAAAGGGGACAGCGUAUAGCAUCCUAUUAUUUAUUCAGUUUCUCCAAUUAAUAGAGACAUUCAGGGAGCAGUCUGUGGCCCUGCUGAGCCAAAGAUGACUGAUCUGAGCAUGGAAAGUUCUCGUAACAGUAAGACACCUACCUUAACUCUGCGAUUAAUGUUGAGAAACUGGCACGUCCUGUCGUAAAGCUCUUCCAGUUUUUCUCUAUCCCAGUAGAAGUCAGGUGUUAUUAGCAGGUCUGAGCUCAGAUUUAUACGGUGUCUAAAAAGAAUGGGUACUAGUGUGGUUCAGGCUUCCUUUUGGUGAAUAUAGGAGCAAAUAUUUACAUAGCAGUCAAAAGAAACAGAAAAAAUGUCCUGUAAUUUUGAGUAAAAUAUGAAAAGAAUCUUCUUUCAGAGUAAAAAUACAAUUGCAGUGAUUGUUUAAAAUUGGUCACAUCUGAAACUUUUCUGGCGAUACUGUACUGUGAAACAGUUUUGAACAUAAAUGACUUCUGCCUUAUAGCAACAUUGCAUCCUCAACCUGUCACCUUCCUUAAUUUUUGAUACCUGCAAAGAAGUCCUUGACUAUGCUAGUAGCUCACUGAAAGAGUACACGAAAUAAAAAUAAAUAACUUCUAAAUGUGACUGGUACUGCAUGCUGGAUGUGUGAGCACAGCACACCCUUCAGAACCAGGCUACAGUCUCAGCAUCAUAAAGGCUAAGAGCUAAAAUCUCCUGCCUUCAACCUACUGCUAAAAUAAACCUUUGGAUAUUAGGAAUAUCACUGUUUAUUACUGAAGAGUCCUUCAAGUUAGGAUAUAAACCCCAGUGUUUAAAACAGGAAUUGCUUUUUAAUUUAACUUUGAGGGUUUUUUUCUUUUUUUUUAAGAGUAUGUAAUGCUCUGUAUUGUCAAUGGCCAAAUUUCACUUGAGGGAGGAAAAACUAUUAAAUCUGUACAUUUUAGCAGUGGUUUCUGAGUAAGUCAAGGGAAGACCAGAAUUCACAGAAGAUCUACCUACCUGUAUUUCCCCCGGUAUCCUUCACAUGCUCUAGUAUCUACAGUAAUUACCAGUUAAGAGACAUGCAUUGCUGGACCUAGGGAGGGAAAAGGGUCUGGAAUUUGGUCAUUUACGAUAUACUGCCUAAUGCCUGUCUAUAGUUGAAAUGCCGUAAUGUGAGUGGUGAGCCAGUUGGUCUUCUGACUAACAUAAACAGCACAGUCUCCAGCCAAGAGAAGUUUGAAGGAAUUCCCCCACCCGCUGCCCCAUCCUGCUCUAUUUAGUGUGUAGUCUGGUAUCACGCACAACAUAGAUUUUAAGUUCCGUGUAAUACGUCUUGGGUGUAAUCAAAAAAGUUACCUUAGUGCAAAGAGUUCUCCAAUUUUCUGCAUCACAUCUGCAUGAGAGAGUUUUACCUUCCUUCGUGACUUAAGAAUCUGCAAAGUAAGAAGUUCUUCACUGCUUGAUCAAGUAACAUGUACUAGCAGUUAAGAAGCCCAGAAUUUUACAGCCUGAAGUAGGAACAUGGGUUAAAAUCUGAAUGCAUACUGUCCUUAUUAACAUUUUAGUUUUGUUUUCUUAGUGCCUUGGUUAUCUAGCUUUCUAAGAAUAUCACCAUGCAACUGUUCAUCCAGGUUUUUCAAUAAGUCACUGAGUAUGUUAUCAGUAUCUAUACAAAAUCCUGAAGCAUUUUCUAUGAAUGAUUUCUGAACAAGAGAUCAUUUGGUUUUCUUCCUACUAUUGUUAAAGUCAUGACAGUGUUCUUUUACUUUGUCACUAGUUAACCUUUCUGUAGACAUUUUCCUUACAACUAUCAACAUAUUACCAUUUAUUUCCUUCAUAUAAAAAUAAUAAACCCAAUAUUUUCUCUUUUGAA
Molecule: long non-coding RNA, 6135 nt
Organism: Pipra filicauda (Wire-tailed manakin)
Lineage: Eukaryota; Metazoa; Chordata; Aves; Passeriformes; Pipridae
Exons: 2
Source: RefSeq, a predicted model, not a curated record